AGCUGAGCACUCUGGCGAGACUGCCGCCGACAAGGCGGAGGAAGGUGGGGGAUGACGUCAAGUCAUCAUGGCCUUUAUGCCCAGGGCUACACACGUGCUACAAUGGCCGGCACAGACGGCAGCUUAGUGGCGACACUUGGCAAAUCCUCUAAAGCCGGUCCCAGUUCGGAUUGCAGUCUGCAACUCGACUGCAUGAAGCCGGAAUCGCUAGUAAUCGCAGAUCAGCCAAGCUGCGGUGAAUACGUUUCCGGGCCUU
Molecule: ribosomal RNA, 256 nt
Filed under: uncultured Synergistaceae bacterium
Lineage: Bacteria; Thermotogati; Synergistota; Synergistia; Synergistales; Synergistaceae
Description: partial 16S ribosomal RNA
Rfam family: Bacterial small subunit ribosomal RNA
Source: RNAcentral